AGGUUUAAUUUUAGUUUGUUUUACGGCUGCUAAUACCUCGUCGGUUGAGGAGCAAAAGGAGGAAUCCGGUCGAGGAGGGGCUUGCGUCUAAUUAGCUAGUUGGUGAGGCAAUAGCUUACCAAAGCGAUGAUUAGUAGUUGGUCCAAGAGGAUGAUCGGCCACACUGGGACUGAGACACGGCCCAGACUCCUACGAGAGGCAGCAGUGGGGAAUUUUCCACAAUGGGCGAAAGCCUGACUGAGCAAUGCCACGUCGAGGUAGAAGGCCCAUGGGUUGUGAACUUCUUUUCCCGGAGAACAAACAAUGACGGUAUCUGGGGAAUAAGCAUUGGCUAACUCUGUGCUAGCAGUCGCGGUAAUAUAGAUGGUGCAAGCGUUAUCC
This 381-nucleotide non-coding RNA is filed under the name Gossypium raimondii (Peruvian cotton). RNAcentral's name for it is "Bacterial small subunit ribosomal RNA". It matches the Rfam family "Bacterial small subunit ribosomal RNA", at positions 152 to 546 of the family's 1533-position model. The record is from Rfam by way of RNAcentral. Lineage: Eukaryota; Viridiplantae; Streptophyta; Magnoliopsida; Malvales; Malvaceae.